This 68-nucleotide transfer RNA is filed under the name Aegilips sp. ZJUH 20220002. RNAcentral's name for it is "tRNA-Gln". Lineage: Eukaryota; Metazoa; Arthropoda; Insecta; Hymenoptera; Figitidae. The record is from RNAcentral.
UAUAUAUAAGUGUUUAUGCACAAAAAUUUUUGAAAUUUUAAGUAAUAAAUUUUAUUUAUUGUAUAUAA